CCUACUGGCGGCAGCAGUGAGGGAUAUUGCGCAAUGGGCGAAAGCCUGACGCAGCGACGCCGCGUGGGCGAGGAAGGCCUUCGGGUUGUAAAGCCCUUUUGGCAGGGAAGAGCAAGGACUGUACCUGCAGAACAAGUCACGGCUAACUACGUGCCAGCAGCCGCGGUAAUACGUAGGGGGCAAGCGUUGUUCGGAUUUACUGGGCGUAAAGAGCGCGUAGGCGGUUUGAUAAGUCAUGGGUGAAAGCCCUCAGCUCAACUGAGGUUACGCCCAUGAAACUGUCUGACUUGAGUUUAGGAGAGGAGAGCGAAAUUCCCAGUGUAGCGGUAAAAUGCGUAGAUAUGGGGAGGAACACCGGUGGCGAAGGCGGCUCUCGGGACUAAUACUGACGCUGAGGCGCGAAAGCAAGGGGAGCAAACGGGAUUAGAUCCCCCUGUAGU
RNAcentral lists this ribosomal RNA (440 nucleotides) under uncultured bacterium. RNAcentral describes it as "partial 16S ribosomal RNA". It matches the Rfam family "Bacterial small subunit ribosomal RNA", at positions 338 to 794 of the family's 1533-position model. The record is from RNAcentral.